RNAcentral lists this ribosomal RNA (757 nucleotides) under Fritillaria imperialis. RNAcentral's name for it is "eukaryotic LSU rRNA". The stretch from base 327 to 482 matches the Rfam family "5.8S ribosomal RNA". The record is from RNAcentral. Lineage: Eukaryota; Viridiplantae; Streptophyta; Magnoliopsida; Liliales; Liliaceae.
GAACCUUAUCAUUUAGAGGAAUGGAGAACUCGUAACAAGGUUUCUUGCGCUUAUUACCGUAGUGCGUAGGUGAACCUGCGGAAGGAUCAUUGCCGAUAACCGACCGAGAGACCGCGAACCUGUAAACGGAUGACACCGUGUCGGGCGGGCACUAUGCCCGCCCUGCUCGGGACCUCGCACCGUGUCCGGGACCGCCUUCGAGCGCUCCGGACACGAUUUGCGGGGGANGGACGAAACCCCGGCGCGGCCUGCGCCAAGGAACAUANGACAGGACGGACGCACGUCAACGCCUCUGCGGCGGGGCGACGUUCGCUCUCUAUCCAUACGACUCUCGGCAACGGAUAUCUCGGCUCUCGCAUCGAUGAAGAACGUAGCGAAAUGCGAUACUUGGUGUGAAUUGCAGAAUCCCGUGAACCAUCGAGUCUUUGAACGCAAGUUGCGCCCGAGGCCUUUCGGCCGAGGGCACGCCUGCCUGGGCGUCACGCCUUGUUUCGCUCCGUGCCCAUGCCCCCUCGGGGGCGGUCACGGAUGCGGAGAAUGGCCCUCCGUGCCUCGUGUGCGGCGGGCUUAAGCCAAUGCGUUUGCAGUCUGAUCAAUCACCAGCAGGAUGUCGUGGCCCCCUGUCGCCUUUAGGGGCUCAAGAGACCCGGAACAGGCGAGCCGUGCUCCUUUACGAUGCGUCGGUAGAAUGCCAAUAUGCGACCCCAGGUCAGUGGUAAACGGCCCUCCGUAUGCGGGGACACCCGCUGAGUUUAAG